UACAGAGGUCUCAAGCGUUGUUCGGAUUCAUUGGGCGUAAAGGGCGCGUAGGCGGGCUGGUCGGUCAGGGGUGAAAUCCUCCGGCUCAACCGGAGAACAGCCUUUGAUACCGCCAGUCUCGAGGGAGGUAGGGGCAUGUGGAACUUCCGGUGGAGCGGUGAAAUGCGUAGAUAUCGGAAGGAACGCCGGUGGCGAAAGCGACGUGCUGGACCUCUUCUGACGCUGAGGCGCGAAAGCCAGGGGAGCAAACGGG
RNAcentral lists this ribosomal RNA (253 nucleotides) under uncultured bacterium. Its description in RNAcentral is "partial 16S ribosomal RNA". It matches the Rfam family "Bacterial small subunit ribosomal RNA", at positions 524 to 776 of the family's 1533-position model. The record is from RNAcentral.